This 2081-nucleotide long non-coding RNA is filed under the name Apis dorsata (giant honeybee). RNAcentral's name for it is "uncharacterized LOC116185561, transcript variant X2". Lineage: Eukaryota; Metazoa; Arthropoda; Insecta; Hymenoptera; Apidae. The record is from RNAcentral.
UAUUCUCGCUGGUAAUCGAUCCAUCCGCGAGAUCGAUCAUUUUUCUCCUUAAAAUCUUCAACAAACUACACAUGUGGAGAGAAAGCAUCAAGGAAAUUCCGACGGUGCUACUGAGAACUGUAUAAAUGAAAAAUCCAGCCAGAAGUUGCAGCAUGAAGAUCAUCUCGUAGUAUGGACUAACUAAUUCGUUAAAAAAAGAACAUGACCAAGAUACACGGAAUCACGAUACACAUUUGCAAGGAAAUGGAGAAAAAAAUUAUAAACCAUUUUCGUAUCUUCGAGCUUAAAGAAAAUUCAAUUGGCCAAGCACCGAUUAUCUUCAAAAACGGUUGCGCGUAGAACGCUUGCUUCAAAUCUUUUUCCACGUAUUUCGUUUCCAUUAUUUCUUUCCAAUGGUUGAAAGUUCAUGAGAUUGAAUGAUAUCAAUAACAUGAUCAUGCAAAUCCCGAUUUUCCCACUUGCAAAGCAUCUCGAUCUUUCUAUUGAUAUAACCUCGAAUCGCAGCAGUGCAUCAUUAUAGAAGCAAUCAACCUGAGCACGUCCAAAAUGCACGGAGCUAUGAUACAUAUUUGCAAGAAAAAGGAGAAAGAAAUUAUAAACCAUUUUUGUAUUUUCAAACUCAAAGAAGAUUCGAUAGCGAUUGGCCAAGCACCAAUUAUCUUCAGGAACAGUUGUUCAUGUAAGAAUCAGCAGAUGCGCAAAACGAUGGCAAAUUAUGAACUUAUACCUUGCAUGCACAAUCCAGAUUAGUUCCUGUGUUUACUGGUCAUAGAUGAUAUACAUCUGUUUUAUUAUUUGAAAAUAUUUUUUGAAAAAAUAUAACAUUGAUUGUAAUAUUUGUACGAUUAUAUAUAAGAGACUUAAUUAUUUAUGAAGUGUUGAACAAUCGUGAGAUUUAAUAAUAUUUGAGUUGUGAUAUUUCUUUGAUUAUAUUGCAGAGAACAUUUGUUAUUUUUAUAUCAUUAAAGUUUCCAAAGAUAAAGUUUCCAGUGAAUAAUUAUAAAUUAUAAAAUAAUUUUAAAAAAGAAAUUUACGACAAGACACAUAGAAAAUUUAGAUAUGCUGCUGAAGUUUUAAAAACCUACAAUAAUUUUUUCGUUUUCAAGAAUUUUUACAACAAUACGUUGAAAAUAACGUAAUGAGAAAAAUACAUUGGAAUUUACAUCACAAAAUACUCGAAGCGAAAGAUCUAACAUCUUGGCGCCAGACAGGCUUGAUGGUCGACUAGCUCUAAGUGAGAUUGAAUAAUGUCAACGAUGCGACCACGCAAAUCUCGGUUUUUUAAAAUCGUCUCGAUCCUUCUGUUGGUGACCUCGAAUAGACCGCAGCAAUGCAUCGUUAUAGAAGCGAUCAAGCUGUAGAUCCCAUAAUUCAAGGACAUUAUUAGAAAACUGGUGAACAUUUGCACGACAAAGGUUAUCUCGUAAGUUGGCGAAUCUUCGAUGACGAAGAAAACAUAAUCGCUCAAAUAUGGCAAAGGUAUCUGAGUACUGUUAUCAGCUUUGACGAUCUUCUCUGAUAUCAAGGGCAAAAUAAUGUGAUAGGGCAAGGCACCUCCGUAACCGAGGAACAGAUACACGAUUGUGAAGAUUCGACCGAUUUUCGCAGUAUUCAUCAUUACCAACCGAUCUUCUUCGCAUUCCACGUCUCUGUACUGUAUCUCCAUCUCCAUCAAGCAAAAUCUGAUCUCAUUUCUGUUAAUCAGAAUCGUCCAGAUCUUGAUGAUCGCCAAAAGGCUGAAAACCUGGGCGGCUAUCACCUUCAUAUAUUUGGUCAGAUUUUCGCAAUCGAAAAUAUUACCACAGGGUAAUAUUUGGGACACGUAAGUGCACAUUUUAUUACGUAAAAUAGAUUAUCUACGUAAGGAAUUAAAAGCAUCAUUACAGAGUAUCAUUUGCGGAAACCAUCGGCGUUACUAUUCGAUAUGAAUUGAAAAAGCCAAGCAUUUCCGAUAAAAAUACGAUGCUCAGUGAUUCUCCAACCCGUGCAGAGUAUCUAAAAUUGAUUUUUUAUCACGAAAUAAAAACAUACAACUAUAAAAAUCAAUAGCCAAUCGACAAAUAAUCUAUCAGACGCAUAAC